GGGGAUGUAGCUCAUAUGGUAGAGCGCUCGCUUCGCAUGCGAGAGGCACGGGGUUCAAUUCCCCGCAUCUCCA
This 73-nucleotide transfer RNA is filed under the name Eutrema salsugineum. It matches the Rfam family "tRNA". Rfam says of the family: Transfer RNA (tRNA) molecules are approximately 80 nucleotides in length. Their secondary structure includes four short double-helical elements and three loops (D, anti-codon, and T loops). Lineage: Eukaryota; Viridiplantae; Streptophyta; Magnoliopsida; Brassicales; Brassicaceae. The record is from Rfam by way of RNAcentral.